RNAcentral lists this ribosomal RNA (1430 nucleotides) under uncultured bacterium. RNAcentral's name for it is "bacterial SSU rRNA". It matches the Rfam family "Bacterial small subunit ribosomal RNA". The record is from RNAcentral.
UGCUAUACAUGCAGUCGAGCGGACUUACAAAAGCUUGCUUUUGUAAGUUAGCGGCGGACGGGUGAGUAACACGUGGGCAACCUGCCCUCGAGACUGGGAUAACUUCGGGAAACCGGAGCUAAUACCGGAUAAUAUAAGGAACCUCCUGGUUCCUUAUUGAAAGAUGGUUUCGGCUAUCACUUGAGGAUGGGCCCGCGGCGCAUUAGCUAGUUGGUGAGGUAACGGCUCACCAAGGCGACGAUGCGUAGCCGACCUGAGAGGGUGAUCGGCCACACUGGGACUGAGACACGGCCCAGACUCCUACGGGAGGCAGCAGUAGGGAAUCUUCCACAAUGGACGAAAGUCUGAUGGAGCAACGCCGCGUGAGUGAUGAAGGCCUUCGGGUCGUAAAGCUCUGUUGUUAGGGAAGAACAAGUGCGAGAGUAACUGCUCGCACCUUGACGGUACCUAACCAGAAAGCCACGGCUAACUACGUGCCAGCAGCCGCGGUAAUACGUAGGUGGCAAGCGUUAUCCGGAAUUAUUGGGCGUAAAGCGCGCGCAGGUGGUUUCUUAAGUCUGAUGUGAAAGCCCACGGCUCAACCGUGGAGGGUCAUUGGAAACUGGGGAACUUGAGUGCAGAAGAGGAAAGUGGAAUUCCAAGUGUAGCGGUGAAAUGCGUAGAGAUUUGGAGGAACACCAGUGGCGAAGGCGACUUUCUGGUCUGUAACUGACACUGAGGCGCGAAAGCGUGGGGAGCAAAACAGGAUUAGAUACCCUGGUAGUCCACGCCGUAAACGAUGAGUGCUAAGUGUUAGAGGGUUUCCGCCCUUUAGUGCUGCAGCUAACGCAUUAAGCACUCCGCCUGGGGAGUACGGUCGCAAGACUGAAACUCAAAGGAAUUGACGGGGGCCCGCACAAGCGGUGGAGCAUGUGGUUUAAUUCGAAGCAACGCGAAGAACCUUACCAGGUCUUGACAUCCUCUGACAACCCUAGAGAUAGGGCUUUCCCCUUCGGGGGACAGAGUGACAGGUGGUGCAUGGUUGUCGUCAGCUCGUGUCGUGAGAUGUUGGGUUAAGUCCCGCAACGAGCGCAACCCUUGAUCUUAGUUGCCAGCAUUAAGUUGGGCACUCUAAGGUGACUGCCGGUGACAAACCGGAGGAAGGUGGGGAUGACGUCAAAUCAUCAUGCCCCUUAUGACCUGGGCUACACACGUGCUACAAUGGACGGUACAAAGGGCAGCAAAACCGCGAGGUCGAGCCAAUCCCAUAAAACCGUUCUCAGUUCGGAUUGCAGGCUGCAACUCGCCUGCAUGAAGCCGGAAUCGCUAGUAAUCGCGGAUCAGCAUGCCGCGGUGAAUACGUUCCCGGGCCUUGUACACACCGCCCGUCACACCACGAGAGUUUGUAACACCCGAAGUCGGUGGGGUAACCUUUUGGAGCCAGCCGCCUA